UAAGACGUAGGGUGCAAGCGUUGUCCGGAUUUACUGGGCGUAAAGUGCGCGUAGGCGGCUUGUUAAGUGAGAAGUGAAAUCUCCAGGGCUCAACCCGGAAACUGCUUUUCAUACUGGCGAGCUUGAGGGAUGCAGAGGUAUGUGGAAUUCCUGGUGUAGCGGUGAAAUGCAUAGAUAUCAGGAGGAACACCGAUGGCGAAGGCAGCAUACUGGGCAUCAUCUGACGCUGAGGCGCGAAAGCGUGGGUAGCAAACAGGAUUAGAUACCCUGGUAGUCCACGCCCUAAACGAUGGAUACUAGGCGUAAGAGGUAUCGACCCCUCUUGUGCCGCAGCUAACGCAUUAAGUAUCCCGCCUGGGGACUACGGCCGCAAGGUUG
Molecule: ribosomal RNA, 378 nt
Filed under: uncultured bacterium
Lineage: Bacteria
Description: bacterial SSU rRNA
Rfam family: Bacterial small subunit ribosomal RNA
Source: RNAcentral